Molecule: non-coding RNA, 9504 nt
Organism: Anas platyrhynchos (mallard)
Lineage: Eukaryota; Metazoa; Chordata; Aves; Anseriformes; Anatidae
Source: RefSeq, a predicted model, not a curated record
AGCUCAUAAGGGUCAGUGAUUUACAAAUGCAUUUCAGUGUAUUUCAAUGUGUACUGCAACUUUCUAGUCCCCUCAAGAUGGAGGAAAAGUUGAUAUUUGGUAUGGUUUUGUACAACAUUUGAAAUGAGCUGAUAUGCAGGAGCACAUAGGGACUUCAAUGAUACUCUCUGAUGCCUUGUAAUUCACUUAAUUUGCAGUGCUUCUAUGUUACCAAAAUUUUAAAAAAUGUAUAGAAGUUCCCUCCACCCACAAACGCUUGAAUUUUGCAGCUGUGGUUAAAAUAGUGACCAGAUAGUGAAUGCAAUUGCUCUUGCUUUUUAGCAAGAGCAGCUGCCUGUCUGUGCAGUUGGCCAAGGCAGCCGGCGAGCAGGUUUUGUGAACUUGCAUCUUAAACCUUCAGAGGCAGGGGUCGCAAGCCUGGUUAGCGCUACCCAACUGCUCCCCCUUGUGCUGGCUGCUGGGCGCUUCGUUCACGCACCUUCCUGUUCCUAGGCUUCGUCUGGAGGUAUCCCUUGGUACUUCUAAAGAAGUGUCAAUGAACCAUGAAUUAAAGAGUCUCCUAAAUAGGUCCUGACAAGACUGCUACUUCUGUAAAAGAGCCAUUACCAUCCUUCAGGUUAGCGACUUGCUAACAACGAAUCCCCAAGGAAGUGGUCUGACAUGGCUGCAAGUGCAAGGCUUGGUGAAGAAUAUAAAAAUACAAAUGACCAUUACUGAAUAAUGAUAAGGUACACCUGUGGUCAUCUCUGCUGGGGGAAGAUGGGGGCUAGCAGAAUUUGAAUGUGGAAGAGCAGAGUGCUUCAAUGGGUGGAGGAGGUCAACUGUUUCGAGUAAGCUGAAACGCCUGUCUUGGAUUUUGUUAGCUCAGGACUGAUAGCCCAUCCUAUUUUAACAGGUGUUGUACUGUCUUUACAGGCAGUGGAAGCAAUGACCAGGCCAUAUUUCUGUCACAAGAACCAGUCAAGUGUCAUCUUAUGUCAUUUGUUGAUAGUGUAACAUACCACGUGGCAGUGCUGACCUGGGUAAUAUUUCACUGAGUUGUGUAUCUUCUUUUCUGGAGCUCACUCUGUAAAAUAGGUAUCCCACUAAAGGAACCUGCUCUGAAGAAUUCCUUCACUGUGCAGUCUUUCAGGACCAUGUGUUGUGGACUUGAUACCAAUUUGCUAACUUCAUCAGUGGUGGGAUUCAUGCUGACCAGAGUUUGUAUCAUGCUUCUCCGCCUUCGUCAGAAUCAAAUGGUCGUAGUGGGGAGAAGAUGGUUCACACUGGAGUGGGCUAUUGACUCCAUUGCGUCCAUAUGCACUCUUUUACUCUGCUUCCCAGAUGAGGAUGGGGACAAAGAAAUAGUCUUGCCUACAGGCUCCCAGAAGUGGACUGCAAACCUCACGUUUUAUACUGGAUGUGCAACCAUCUUCUGUGUUUGCUGAAAAUGGCAGGCCCAACACAAAUGGCACGGAGGACAGGGGUCCCACUCAUCUUCUUAGCCCAUCUGCACUCCCUUCAUGCAGCCCUUGGCUGCUGCACCAGGACUGUGCCGUGCUUCUCCAAAACCAAACUUAGUCCUAAUUAGCAACCUGACUUCUGCUAAGCGCACAGGAGGCAGAGGCGCUGACAGCAGGCAGCUGUCCCAGUGCAACGAGCAGCGUGGAAGCAAGCACGGCGCUACCACAGCGGACAGAGCUGUCACGAGUGGAAAACCUGCAGGGAGACGGCUUCGACUGGGAAAGAGCUGCGGGGAAGGGCAGGGGGACGCGGCCUCAGUCGGCCGGGUGCCCGCAGGAAAGCGACAAGGCAGGGAAGCGGCGCUGCCGGCCAGCAGGUCCCGAGCGAGGAGGAGGAGGAGGAGGAGGAGAAAAGCACCCAGGAGGGAAGCUCCCAGGAGGGAAGCACCCAGGGCUCGGGACCUGUGCAGCCGGAGCGAGGGGGCGCCCCCCGCCGCGUCCCGCCCCGCUCCGCUCCCUCCCCUGCCACGUUCCCAGCGCCCCGCCGGGGCUCUCCGCCUCACCCCAGCCUCUCGCGGCUCUCCUCGGGGCUGAGCUGGUCGAAGCUCCGCGCCUCCUCCUUGCCCAGGAAGGCCUCGUGGUCGUACUGGAAGCCCGGGCCGUCCUCGUGGUGCUGCUGCUGCUGCUGCGCGGCGCCGGGACGGGCCCGCUCCUGCCGCACUGUCGGCUUGCCCAGGCCGCCCGGCACCAGCAGGAGCAGUAGCAGAGGCAGCAGCAGAGGCAGCAGGAGCCAUCCCGGCCCGCCGGCCAUGCCCCGCGGCCGCCCCGCAGCCCCGCUCAUCGCCACGGCCCGGCCCGGCCCCGCCUCUCCCCGGCCGCUCCCCGGCACGGCCCCGCCGGCGCCACGUCUGCAGGGCGGAGCGCGGGGGGGGAACAGCCCGGGGCCGGCAGCUCCCCGACCAUCUCCCUUAGGAAUGCACAAAACCGCUUUGAUUUUUGAGUUUUCUCCCCAAAAUGGGCAACGGAAAAGCUACAAGUUAAAAAAAAAAAAAAAAAAAAAAAAAAAAAAAAAGAAAAAAAAGUGGCUAUGUAGUGAGUGCUGGAAAUUGAAGGAGAAAAACCCAAGUUUUUUGGCACAGAAAAAAAAGCAUUUGCUUUUUUUCCAUCGAUUGCAAUUCAUUUUGCUCAAGGUUGUAGAAGCAGAGACUUCAGGUUGCAGUAACUGACAUUUUCACCGAGUAAAUUUCCUUUUCCUACACCGUAGCCCGAAAUUCACAACCGGGGAGAAUUGCUUGUUGCUGGUUAAUGACCUUGUGUGCUGUCUGACCCAGCGUGGCAGAUGAGCGUUGCUACCAGAGCCCGGCCAUUCUUCGGCACGCAGACCUGAGAGAAUUACUGGUUGCAACAUGAGAUUUGUUAGCCCAGUCCACUGGACAGAAAAAUCGUACUUAUGCCGGGCCAUUGGGUGUGCCACGACCGUGCAAGUUGCUGAACCAGGCUGUGGCCUCCCUGCCGCUGUCGUUACCCCGGUGGACAUCCUUUUGACCUACAGGUGUGAGGCUGUGAUGAGGUGCUCAGUUUUCACCUUCUUGAUCCACAUGGCGCUAGAGUAUGCAGCUAGUCAAGAGGGAAAUCAAUUGCAUGGAUAACAGAUGAAAGUCUACUGUUGUCAGGACUGUCACUGGUACUGGAAUGAGUUUUCUCUACCUUUUUUGGGGGUGGCUCUCUGCAGUUUGUCAUGCACAGUGCUACUUGGACCUUCAGUGCCCAAGUGAACAUUCGGAGUGCAGAACAGCCGAAUUGCUUCAAGAGCAAGAAGGUCGUCGGAGCAGGGCACUACAUCAAUUACUUCUGUAUCACGAUGAUGGAUACUGUGAAAACUGAGAGGCAAUGCAGGGAUUUUUUUGCGGUGCUAUUUGGAAGCAUUUAAAAACUCCUCUCUGUGUACUUAUUGCUGGUCUGCUGUAUUCAAGCAAUGCUUUUAAACACCAGCAUCCAGCUACACAUGGGGACUGUGUGAACAUUAUUUUAUCCAUUGUGCUAUCUGCUUCCUUUUAGUGAGAUGAAACGAUGCCAUGUUUCACAUACUGUUCCUUCCCAUGACAGCAGCCACAGGGCUCAGGAAACUGCUCAGAGCAGCGUGGGCUGUCUCCAGCAAGCGCUCCCAUCUGGGGAGGCACUUGGGAAGCAGAGGGAGGCAGGUGUGCAGCUGCCAGCCCCCAAUCCCCACGGGGAAAACUCUGCAUUCCCAGCAAAAGGAACCUCCUGGCAUGCUCUCCCAUCUCAGGGGUCUGCUUGGCCUUUUGCUGACAGCAUAAUUUUUUUAAGGAGUCUCAGAGUCUGACAUCUCUGUUCGCGACCCUUUUUUCCUAAGCAAUAUUAAUAACUGCUGCGGGUCUGGCAGGUGCAACGUCCGCUAAUUGUGUCUGCAUCGCCAGGCCUUAUCCUAACAGCCCUCUAACAUCUGCAUUCCUACCUGGGCAACGAAGAAACAUCCAUUUAUCCUAGACAGAGUGUGCUGCUCACUCACCAGCUCUUGGCCAACAACUCCCCAUCAAGAAGAAACAUAUAGUUAGGAAAUUUGCCUAAGCCAUCACAGACCUGGAAAAACUCACUGGCGUGUCUGAUGGAACUGAAUAGAAUUUACCAGUUUGAGUUAUGGCUUACAUUACAAGCACACCUGAAGUACCUUUCUAAGAUGAACCAAGAGACAUCUUCCUUGAAGAGGUAGGAAUAGUUGCUAUCCACUUGUCUGACAUGGCCAUGCUCACCGAGGGGGUAGAAGACAACACGGUGGGAAUCCACAGUGAGCAGACACUGAGCCAGGUGGAGGUAAGUCUGGGCUGAUGAGCUGCUGUAUGGGUGAACUUCCCAUCCCUCGCAGGCCAGUGAAGCGUGCCUAAUGUGACACUGCUUACUCAUCCCUGGUGCUGGGUACUUACUCCCUUUCUUUUUGUGAAAUGAAAUGAGAUUCUGAGAGCACGUUUUCUUUGUGAAAAACAAAACAAAAACAAACAAACAAAAAACCUCCCUGUGGUCUCUACCACAACUAGCCACUAAAUUAAGUAGCCAUUUGAAAUAUUAAUAUAUUAAUUACAGAUAAUCGGUACUAGAUUUGUCUCCCUACUGGUUCUCUCUACCAGCAAAUGCUGAAAAGCUUCUGAAAUCUCAUGUUAUUCUUGAUGUCACAAGUAUAUGGAUUUUAAAGUCAGGAAAAGCUACAGAAUCUUCAGGAAAGUAGACAGAUAAAUCUCAUAGUUGACAAUUUUGAGAUUUUUCUUACCCAAGACUUAAAAUUCUCAUCACUUGCAUUUAAAUGAGGUAGUAUAGAUCAUUUGGAUUGUGAACUAAUGAGUGUUGUAAGACUGAAAGGAAUUGACCUCCUGAGCACCCUGGUUUUGCUGAAGAAUGAAGUUAGACCUGAAGUAUAGCUCCUAGGUCUUUUGUUUUUUGUUUGUUUUACUAUUUUUCUUUGUCAUUAAUGAAACCAAUAUGACGUAAUAAAAUUGAGAUUCGAUAGUGAAACACAAGAGUGAAGGAAAAUUUAUAUGUAUAACCACACCAUAACAAUUGGGUCUUUUUCUUUUAAUUCUGUUUCAGUUGCUACACAAGUUCCCAGGUUAGAGGUAAAUAUUUUAUGACAUGUCAGAACUCAGCUUGAUGCUUUUUCAGAGCUGUAUAGAACAGGUUCCAGCUCUAAAAUGUCUCCAGCCAAAAGCCUGAGAUCUGAUCUCAAUCAGGCCAUGAGCCUUGGAUCUUGAAAAUUAGCAGGAAAACCUGCAGGAACGGGUGAGAUUUCUUUUUGAGAUUUCUAGUGCCCCCAGACAUUUACUGGAAAUAAUUCAAAAACUUUCUAGUUUCUAGGAGGAAAACUUUUCUAGCAAAUAAAGUUAGAACAUUUCUGAGCUGUCAAUCUUAUUUCUGAUUCACACAUUCACACUGAGUCAAGUAAUUCCUUAUGUUUAAGCUCAGGCCCUAGUCCAGCUCUUCGAACAGUGAGUGCUGCACCACCUCACAGCCCCUCAUGCUUGCUGCUGCUAUCCCAAAUCUCUUGGAAAAGGGCAAAGUGAUUCUUGGGUCUGUCCUAGGGUGUAUAGUCCUAAAUCUGUACUUCUGAAGUAUGAAGCCCCCACUGCAAGGUGGCAGUCGUAAGUGCCAAUAGGUUGUGUUUUGUUGUUUUUGUUUUCUGAAACUCUCCGCUUCCUCUUUCUUUGGUGGAGGAAGUGGUUGUGUGCAAGUAUUAGUCAACAUAUCUCUGUUUAUUAUUGUUAUUAUUUUGGCAGAGGUUGGUCUGUGUUUCACUCCCACCUGGGUGUGGAGAUGUCAGUCCGAUGAUUUGUCCUCUGAAACUGAACCAAACCCUCUGAUAAAUGCUACAGCUAUGGGGAAGAAGUUCCCUGGCUGGUCAGAAGUUUUGGAGAAGUUUAACUCAGGUGAAUCUGCUGGCCAAGAAGUGCAGUGCACUUCUCCUAAGUUUUUCUGACAAUUAAGAAGAGGCCCUGUUCACUGAGGUCAUCCCUGAACAAGCAGAGGAUGAGAGCAAAACCACCAAAUGCUUGCUUCCCCAAAACUACUGUGUAAACAUUCCCACGCCCAAGACAUACCUUUCCAUCUGGUCUCACGUUUUUUUUUUCUAAGGGCGGUUUCUUUCUUCUCUAAUUAUUUUUUCACAAAUCAAAGGAAGACAUUAUACAGUCAGAGAGCAUUAAUCACCUUACAUAACUUCACAGUAGUGAAAAGUAAAGACAACACACAAUAAGUAAUAAAACAAAUAAGGUUUGAUGAUGUGUGUGUGGAAAGAACUGCAAGGCAGAGAAAUUGCUCUGGAUGUGUCACCGCUUUCUCAGGUGUAUCAUGGAAGUAUAAGGGAAGCCCUCUCACCUCAAUGUUGUCUGAAGCAUCUGAGCUGUAAUCCAUCUAAAAUCUAGCAGAAUAACCAUUUAUAUAUCACUAGAAAUGUAUUGCUUUGUACAUAAAGAUUUGAGAGGUAAAUGAAGCAGGGAAAAGCAGUAAAAAGUCUUUAAGAAAUGAACUGCUAAGCACAUGCUUCCCACCCAGCAUGGCUUUCAUGCCAACACCACUUUUAAUAAGACUUCGCUGGAACACAGGAGCAGCCAUAAAGGUUCAGAGCAAGGCUUAUCUCAGCAUCCUGUCUCCAGCAGUGGCCAUAACAAGUGCCUGGGGUAGAGUAGGAGCAGGGUAUGCAUAUAUGAUGCUUCUACUUGACAUUACUUUCCUCCUGGAGACUGGUUUUGAUUCAAGUGCUCCCCCGAGUCUAAUGCAAUUUGUCUAAGUGCUCUCAAUAGGGCUCUUUCAAGUUCUUGUUCAUUCUGCUCUUAAAUAUAUGUAAACUUUCUAAACCCACAACAUCUGCUGGCAAGGAGAUCCAUAGGAUGAGCAGAAACUUUUCUCUCUUUUGGAAAAACAAAACAACACAAAACAAAAUUCAAGCUGUCUGGAGACUUCCUUUGAUAACUUCUGAAAGAAGAAUUGUUGUGAACAGUUUCAAUAGGACACCUAACUCUUAACUGACAAACAAUAUUGCAAAAAUCACACAGGGUUUCUUUUUUUCAUUUCAUUUCAGUAUUGAUACGUCACCAAAUAUAUAUCCUUAGGUUUCACCUGUGUCUUGAAUGAGAAAUGUCAAUGGAUUCCAGACAUGUUAGUAGCUCACUAAAUAUUAGUAGCGUUAUUAUAAAACACCCAGAUUACUGGUGGGUCUAGAUACACAUUUUAAAGAAGACCCACUCCCUUUUGAAAUUGCCUGUCAUUUGAAUACAACAUUUUUGCUUAGGUACAGAAAAGAACUCACUGUUUGGCUUUUUUUUUUUUUCUUAUUUUCUUUUUUUUUUCCUGGUGUAGCAUACCAGGAAGCCAUGUGUUGUCUGUGUAGUGAGGAACCCAUCACAAAGUUUGUAUCUGGAGCUGAGCCUCAGCCUGUCUGUGGUUGGUGUGGUGUUUGUUUUGGGGGGUAGAUCCUUUCCCAAAGGCAGGCAGAGACACAAGGGGUUUCAAUCAAGGGUAAUUUCAUAUAAAACUGACAGGUUCGUAUAGGUUUCUGCUUAGCAUUUUCCCAUCUCACAUGAGGACUAUUUAUUGGGACUCAAGGAUGUCAAGUGAUCAGCCAACUGCAGUUUGGAAAUUACAGCAAUUUGCAAAAGUCCAAAUUCUUGUUUAACAUCAGAUUUGAUGCUUCCCAGCACUGGCGAGUGCCUGGUUAGGCCUUCAGCAGGCAGUAUAUGGCAAUAGGUCUUCAUCAGCAAGUGUGAUGAAGUUAGUGCUGUUCAGCCAGAGACAGGAGCUCGUGGCUCCUGAAACCCAAUUAACUGAAAAUAUGCCUUGCGCAUUUCUAAUAAGGGAGGGAAAUGGUGCCACUAGACACUGGCCUCAGCUCCCUAGCUGGGAGUGUGUUGGGAGGCGCAGACAAAUUUGUUGGUGCUUCACAGUGACGAAGGCAAAUAAGGUUAUUGAGUUGGUGGUCUGUGAAAAAGGAAUAGAACUAGAUUUGGUCCAGAAGUUAGAACAAUACAUGGAUGAAACAUUUUAGGUGCUGAUACAAAACACGUUUAGCUUUGUAUUUAUUUUUUGUAUAUAAAACAAAUUGUAGAUCUUCCAUAUGUGAUUGUGCUCACCUGUUUUGCUUCACAUUCAAGGAGCUUUGUGAAGAAUUAAGGAGUGUGACCAUGAUUCUUACUGAGACAAGAGUAAGUGCCUUGUCAUUGAGCAAUCUAAUUAUUGACUUGCAAUUGUAUCAGAAUAUUCCCACAUAUUCAAAUUAAUAGGGGCUUAUAAAACUUCCUGUUGUAGCCAUGUAUUUGUAGCAUUUGCCUCCAAAGUGCUAUCAAUAGCUCUUCCCUUGCUCUGUUAUUUGGUGCUUUGAUUAGAGCCGGACAAAUGCUCCAGCAAGUGUCAAGCCUUACUGCUUCUCUGCUCUUUUUGGAACUAUUGUGAAAUUGGUCCUAAUGCUAAAGAGAGAGUACAACACACUAAACCACAGGCAUGUAGGAACAGCACAAUGUGUUGUCAGCUAUGGGAAAGACAGAAAGCCUAUUUUCAAAACCUUGUGAAUAGGUUAAUGCUGUUGCUAGGAAAAGAUUUGCCCUUUUACACAUCUGAAGGAAGGUAAUGUUGACAGUAAGGAGUAGAGGACUAGCAAGAUUUUAAGUUUUUGUGUGACUUUUAUUUCUGAGAAAGAAAGGGCAUUGGCAACAACAGCUGCCUGUAGCACAGCUUUCCCUCCUAUUUUUUUUUUUUUUUUUACACUUGACUUCUAAUAUGGAUUCCAGGCAUGAUUCAGCAAACAGGGUGAAGAAGAUUUUUACAGACAUGGACUGGCACAGUAUUAGAUAAAAAGAAAAAAAAAAAAAAAGGAAAACAAAACAAAAGAAAAAACUCUGGAAUAGUAUAAUGGGCUUUCUUUAUCCAAUGCAUAUAAAAUAUGGAUCUAAACAAACACGCAUAAACCUUAAUUUAGAGGAGUUUUAUUGGGUUUUAUUGGGCUCUUGUUUUAAGUGCAGAGACAUUUGCUGGGAAGGCAGAUAUGGUGUAAUGAGGCUCGCUGGGCUAACUCAGGGAGGCUCCAAACUCACCUCUAGGCUCAAAAUGAAAAUUACAAAAUCACUAAUGCGCAUUAUCUGGAGGUUCAUUUUGCUGUUAUUUGAGUACAUGACCAAGAAACAGAGAAUGAUUUUUGUGAUCAAGAAAUGCCAGAAAUGGCACUGACAGCUGCAGUACUUUUUGCCUCUAUCUUAAAUGCUCCCUUUCUAAAUCUGGGACAACAUUUUUAAACAUGAGAAACAGAUUUUUAAAGACAACACUAAAACCUCAGGAGUUCUUCUAGCUUAUCCUCAUGCCUCAAGAAAAGACAAUCCUUUCUAAACUGUGUAUGCUAUAUUGAAACACGUGUUUACACAAACUAUUCACCUUAGGUGGGCAACUAUGAGCGUCCUGUUAUGUACUAAAAUUGAAUGCACACUGGGCAAAUGUAAGUACAUAAAGAUGGGGGAAAAAAGAAAAACACAAAAGAAGGAAAGGAAAGGAAAGAAAGGAAGGGAGAGAGAGA